RNAcentral lists this ribosomal RNA (253 nucleotides) under uncultured bacterium. RNAcentral describes it as "partial 16S ribosomal RNA". It matches the Rfam family "Bacterial small subunit ribosomal RNA", at positions 524 to 776 of the family's 1533-position model. The record is from RNAcentral.
UACGUAGGUAGCAAGCGUUGUCCGGAAUCAUUGGGCGUAAAGAGCGCGUAGGCGGCCGUGUAAGUCCGUUCUGAAAGUCGGAGGCUCAACCUCCGAAAGCGGAUGGAUACUGCACGGCUAGAGUCCGGAAGAGGCGAGUGGAAUUCCUGGUGUAGCGGUGGAAUGCGCAGAUAUCAGGAGGAACACCAACGGCGAAGGCAGCUCGCUGGGACGGUACUGACGCUGAGGCGCGAAAGCGUGGGGAGCAAACAGG